CAUAACGUCGCAAGACCAAAGAGGGGGCCUUCGGGCCUCUUGCCAUCGGAUGUGCCCAGAUGGGAUUAGCUAGUAGGUGGGGUAACGGCUCACCUAGGCGACGUCCCUAGCUGGUCUGAGAGGAUGACCAGCCACACUGGAACUGAGACAUAACGUCGCAAGACCAAAGAGGGGGCCUUCGGGCCUCUUGCCAUCGGAUGUGCCCAGAUGGGAUUAGCUAGUAGGUGGGGUAACGGCUCACCUAGGC
Molecule: ribosomal RNA, 247 nt
Filed under: Enterococcus faecium
Lineage: Bacteria; Bacillati; Bacillota; Bacilli; Lactobacillales; Enterococcaceae
Description: partial 16S ribosomal RNA
Rfam family: Bacterial small subunit ribosomal RNA
Source: RNAcentral